UGCAAGUCGAGCGAAGCUUUUCAGUAGUUUACUACAGAAAAUGACUGAGCGGCGAACGGGUGAGUAACGCGUGAGCAACCUACCUUAGUUACUGGGAUAGCCCGAGGAAACUCGGAUUAAUACCAGAUAUUCUUACUUAAUCACAUGAUUUUUUAAGGAAAGGUCAGCCGAACUAAGAUGGGCUCGCGUUCUAUCAGCUAGUUGGUAGGGUAACGGCCUACCAAGGCUACGACGGAUAGCUGGUCUGAGAGGACGAUCAGCCACACUGGGACUGAGACACGGCCCAGACUCCUACGGGAGGCUGCAGCAGGGAAUAUUGUGCAAUGAACGAAAGUUUGACACAGCGACACCGCGUGUGGGAUGACGGAUCUAGGUUUGUAAACCACUUUCAGGAGGGAAGAAAAUGACGGUACCUCCACAAGAAGCUCCGGCCAACUACGUGCCAGCAGCCGCGGUAAUACGUAGGGGGCGAGCGUUGUCCGGAUUUAUUGGGCGUAAAGAGCUCGUAGGCGGUUCAACAAGUCGGUCGUGAAAGUUCAGGGCUCAACCCUGAAAUGUCGAUCGAUACUGUUGUGACUAGGAUACGGCAGAGGUGAGUGGAAUUCCGAGUGUAGCGGUGAAAUGCGUAGAUAUUCGGAGGAACACCAAUUGCGAAGGCAGCUCACUGGGCCGCUAUCGACGCUGAGGAGCGAAAGCUAGGGGAGCAAACAGGAUUAGAUACCCUGGUAGUCCUAGCUGUAAACGAUGGAUACUAGAUGUAGGAAUUGGUUUAACGAUUUCUGUAUCGUAGCUAACGCGUUAAGUAUCCCGCCUGGGGAGUACGGUCGCAAGACUAAAACUCAAAGGAAUUGACGGGACCCCGCACAAGCGGCGGAGCAUGCGGCUUAAUUCGAUGAUACCCGUAGAACCUUACCUGGACUUGACAUAUAGGGAAAAGUUA
RNAcentral lists this ribosomal RNA (940 nucleotides) under uncultured marine bacterium. RNAcentral's name for it is "bacterial SSU rRNA". It matches the Rfam family "Bacterial small subunit ribosomal RNA", at positions 56 to 1001 of the family's 1533-position model. The record is from RNAcentral.